Molecule: long non-coding RNA, 966 nt
Organism: Leptopilina heterotoma
Lineage: Eukaryota; Metazoa; Arthropoda; Insecta; Hymenoptera; Figitidae
Exons: 3
Source: RefSeq, a predicted model, not a curated record
UACUAGAAUCAAGGAUAAAUAGAGGAUGACUUUUUAAAAAUUUUUCAUAAUGUAAAAAGUUUGGAAAAAAAGUGAAAAUGAGUAAUUCUUGUGUCAAAAUUAUUUUCUACUUGAAUUUAGUGUUUUUAUUAACAGCAAGUGCUGUUGAUGAAAGUGCAAACGAAAGGAAUGAACUAAACCCAAUAAAAGAGAGAAUAAAUUCUCACUACUAUGAAUUUGUUAACGAAUUAUAUAGCAACAGAUAUUUAAUUGGCAAUUGCUCUCAUGAAGAUGAUGCAUUACUUGAUAUAAACAGUUUAAACGAAGAUCUUGAAAAUUUUGAAUUAUUAUUUACUGAAACUACACUAAAUAAUAAAACUCUUAUGAUAUUACAUGAAAAAGAAAUUAUUAGAUAUUUAAAAUUUUUAAAAAAUGAUCUACAUGAUAUGAAUUCAUGUAGAAAUAAAAACAAAAUAUUUAAAGAAAAUGAUUACAAAAUAAUCAAUGAAUCGAGAAAAUUUUUAUUACAUAAGAGUGACGAAAUCUCAAGAUAUUAUUGGGUAUUAAACGUCUUUCGUUGUCCACAGAAGGAUAAGGAAAUAAAUGAUUUUCAAAACAGAAUAAAUUCGGACAGAAAAAAUAAAAAUUUAACGAUCCAUGAAACGUAUUUAAAUCUAAGACAAAUCUACUACAAUACUUUGCUUGACUUUGAUAAAAAUUUUGAAUUCCUAAUUCAUUGUGCAGCUCGUAAAAUUAGAAAUAAUUGUGAAACAUUUCUUAAAAGGAGUAACAAAUUACUUUCCAACUAUGAAAAGUUUAAUAUCAAAAUUGGAAUUCAAGAAUAUUUGUUAACUGAAAAAACAUAUUUAUCUUUUCAAAAGUAUUUUAAAUACAUUCAAGAGUGUGCAAGCUUGAAAAGAAAAUUUCCAAAUAAAAGAAACGAUAUCUUUAAUAAUUGGAUGAUUAAAAAAAAUAGAAAACAUUUUC